Long non-coding RNA from Anguilla rostrata (American eel), 2841 nucleotides. RefSeq lists it as uncharacterized. Lineage: Eukaryota; Metazoa; Chordata; Actinopteri; Anguilliformes; Anguillidae. The transcript has 3 exons. The record is from RefSeq and is a predicted model, not a curated record.
GAGCAAGUGAUCUGAUUUUCUAGCGGAGGAACGCAGUCAGAGAGAGAGGGAGUGCAGGCAAGUGUGAGAGAGAGCGAGAAAAAGAGAGAGGGGGAGAGAAAGAGACAGAGAGACAGAGAGGGGCUUCAGGUGCCAGUGCACUGAGAGCUGUGGAUGCUGCAGGACUUCACGUCAGCCCGGCCGCUGCACUUUGGGGUCCCGCGGUGGGGGAGAGCUGAGGUGAGUUGGACACAAGAAGACACAAAAAAGACUAAAGAAUAGAGAUGGAGACUAAAAGCCAUCCAGGAGAGAGGUAGAGUCUGUGGCUUCAGUGGCCUCUAAGGCAGAUAUAAUAUGAGCUACAGUGGAGUUGAGAGUUUAGAAGCAAAAGAAAGACAGACAUGCUACUGUGGCGUGGAGUGAGAAAAGGCAGUUAGAGGUGCUGACAGGAGAUGGUGCUUGGUGGGGGGUGCACAAUAACACAGAUCUGCAACAAAGGCUGCUGCUUCAGUCCAUGCAUUUUCAGACACUGCUGGGAGAAUGUGGGUCUAUCGGAUGAGUGCUCAAGACUGGGGUAUGCCCAGAGGAACUGAUUAAGAUGUGGGAAGAUUCGGCCCAGUGAUUCGUCACUGGAUUUGUCCCACGUCAAAAGAACAGACUGUGUUUCACCCUCUACUACAACUGUUAAAGCUGUUAAUUAUCUCCCUUCCCGUUUCUUUUCAUUUUAAUCACUAUCACUGCUUUUUUUUAUUUUAAAUUAUUCAGUUUCGUCCUCCCUCUUUAAAGUAUUUACAGAAAUUACUGUAAACAGCAAAACAAAAGCAAUUCAAAUAAAAAAGACACAUCUGUUUGAUCUCAGCUGAAUUCAACAGACGCACGUAACACCUAUAAAUGCCAAUAAACAAGCACAGCAGAACAAAGCUGCUUUAAUUUCAGUUCCAUGCAAUUCCCAAUGACUUCUACCCUGUGAGAUUACAUAUCCGGACACAGCCUAAUAGCCAUUAGAAACACCCACACCGUGCCACUGUAGCCACAUACAAAUAGCUACAGUAUACUACAUAAUAUGUUACAUUUGAACCGAAAAUGUUUUGUGUACUUGAAAAGUACUGUUAUACAAACAUAAAUACAUAUAUGCAAUAUUUCAAUAAUUAGCAUGCUGUAUGAGAAACAUUGAUUUGCGGGUGUGAAUGCUAAUUCCAGUCAUACGCUGAAAUGGAUUAUUGAAGCCAGGAGGUAAUGCUGUAUAAGAAAUACGUAAUUCUUAAUAAUUUUCCCAGCUGUUUCUGAGGAGCAAACUUCUUGAUUCCACUGAUGCCGGCACUGGGACCAUGUUUUUUAAAAGUGCAUCGGGCCACAUACAUGAGUCAUGAUGUCACUAUGUAGUCUGUUUCAUUACAGUGCAAUGUGGAUGAGAUGUGCAUUUGGGAAAACAAAAAAAUGACCCAGAAAUACAUAAUCAAAAGGAUGUGAGUGCUUAGGGCCCAAAGGCAGUGAUUGGGAUGUGGAGAACAUUAUGUGCACGUUUCAGAAAGCUCCCUUCCUUGUCCUAGGCAUAGAGCUAGGCUCAGUUCUUGCCCUGGAGCUGUUGCUAACAUGCCGUGGUAUUGUAAAACUCGAAUAUUUGUCCUUAUGAUUAAAAUAUAAGCAGAACUGAACUCACCCCAAUUCAGAUUUUAACAACACUUGACUUGAGCAUUGCUGAAGGACAUAACAUCAGCACGGCCUACAAUUUUGUCUAUCUGUCUGAUUCACUGUUGCUUGAUGCCCUCUUCAGGUCAUCGAUUUAAGGAUAGAAGUGGGUCCUCCAUGUUGAUCUGAACCAUGCAAUCACAGCUCUGUAAUCUACUCAUGGUCUGCACUGACGGCCUAAUUGUCUGUGAUUUCUGAAGACAGACCUUAUGUCAUGUAACAACUAGUGAAGAGAUUUGGAUUUGCAGACUCCAAACUUUCAAUAAGGUGAAUCUCAGUCUGAAGUACCACAUGCAAGCUAGGGACUCCCAAUCACAAGACUGAUGCCUGUGAGCUGGUAAAAGGCAAGACAAAUCUUAGCACUUAAAAUACACAAACAAGCACAAUUCCCCAUGUAGCUCAGGGAUCUGAUGAUUCGGUGUGCUUUCACUUUCAUAGAACUGUAUGAUAAAUAUCCUCAGAUACAGUAUGUAUUGAUCCGCUGGACUCUUCCUGAGAUGCAUAAGAGCUAUAAGAUUGUCUGGGGCAUGUGACAGAAGGAAUCUCAUUAGAAGCAGAGGCUUCCUUUUAUCCAUGUAAGCAAACUCUUUAUUGUUCACAUUGUGUCUGGUCAGCACAGCUGUCUAAAGCAAGGAUCUGUCCAUCAGCACUAAAACCCAUCGCUCUCUGAGAGGGGGUGCUGGGACAGAGCCAAUGAAAUGGCAGAUGUAGGAAGGGUAAUUUCCCAGAGAGCUUAAAUUGCACUGUAAAUGAAUUAUUGUUUAAGAAUGCAUCUAGAGAAAGAGCAAACUCCACUUUUCUCACAGAGUGCAAUCUGUUUUCAGCAAUUGUGUUUCUUAAUUUUGUUUUUUAUUUUGCAUUUUCCAUCAUAUUCAUUAAUACAUAUUCAUGCCCAGGAAUUGACCCUGUAAUCUUAUGAGUAUUAUCACUUCUCUUAAACCACUAAAGUACACUGCCACAUCUUUCACUGGGAUGUAUUUGAGACCAUAGACAACCUCAACACUAGAAUUGUAAUACAGUAGCUGCAGUACAUGGUGGAAUAAUGGAUGAGUCACAGGUCUCACAUCUCUGAAGGAGUCAUAAAUUCACUCCUGCUAGUAUCCAAGUAGGAUUUCACCAUUUGUUUUUCCUUUAACUAAAUUAAAGAGUGUAAAUCAAAUGAAUGGCCUUGAU